This 443-nucleotide ribosomal RNA is filed under the name uncultured bacterium. RNAcentral describes it as "partial 16S ribosomal RNA". It matches the Rfam family "Bacterial small subunit ribosomal RNA", at positions 338 to 795 of the family's 1533-position model. The record is from RNAcentral.
CCUACGGGGAGCUGCAGUGGGGAAUAUUGGGCAAUGGGCGCAAGCCUGACCCAGCAACGCCGCGUGAAGGAAGAAGGCUUUCGGGUUGUAAACUUCUUUUCUGAGGGACGAAGAAAGUGACGGUCCCUCAGUAAUCCGCCACUACUAACUACGUGCCAGCAGCCGCGGUAAUACGUAGGUGGCAGGCGUGAUCCGUUUUUAGUGGGGGUAAAGGGCGGGUAGGCGGGAAAGCAAGUCAGAUGUGAAAACUCAGGGCUCAACCCUGAGCCUGCAUUGGAAACUGUAGUUCUGGAGUGCGGGAGAGGGAAUCGGAAUUCCGGGUGUAGCGGUGAAAUGCGUAGAUAGACGGAGGAACACCAGUGGCGAAGGCGGAUUGCUGGACAGUAACUGACGCUGAGGCGCGAAAGCGUGGGGAGCAAACAGGAUUAGAUACCCCGGUAGUC